Molecule: ribosomal RNA, 434 nt
Filed under: uncultured bacterium
Lineage: Bacteria
Description: partial 16S ribosomal RNA
Rfam family: Bacterial small subunit ribosomal RNA
Source: RNAcentral
GCGAACGCUGGCGGCCGGCUUCACCCCUGCAAGUCGAACGGGCUUCUUCGGAAGUCAGUGGCAGACGGGUGAGUAACACGUGGGAACGUGCCCUUCGGUUCGGAAUAACUCAGGGAAACUUGAGCUAAUACCGGAUACGCCCUUAUGGGGAAAGGUUUACUGCCGAAGGAUCGGCCCGCGUCUGAUUAGCUUGUUGGUGGGGUAACGGCCUACCAAGGCGACGAUCAGUAGCUGGUCUGAGAGGAUGAUCAGCCACACUGGGACUGAGACACGGCCCAGACUCCUACGGGAGGCAGCAGUGGGGAAUAUUGGACAAUGGGCGCAAGCCUGAUCCAGCCAUGCCGCGUGAGUGAUGAAGGCCUUAGGGUUGUAAAGCUCUUUUGUCCGGGACGAUAAUGACGGUACCGGAAGAAUAAGCCCCGGCUAACUUCGUG